AGAGUUUGAUCAUGGCUCAGAUUGAACGCUGGCGGCAGGCCUAACACAUGCAAGUCGAACGGUAACAGGAAGCAGCUUGCUGCUUCGCUGACGAGUGGCGGACGGGUGAGUAAUGUCUGGGAAACUGCCUGGUGGAGGGGGAUAACUACUGGAAACGGUGGCUAAUACCGCAUAACGUCGCAAGACCAAAGAGGGGGACCUUCGGGCCUCUUGCCAUCAGAUGUGCCCAGAUGGGAUUAGCUUGUUGGUGGGGUAACGGCCCACCAAGGCGACGAUCCCUAGCUGGUCUGAGAGGAUGACCAGCCACACUGGAACUGAGACACGGUCCAGACUCCUACGGGAGGCAGCAGUGGGGAAUAUUGCACAAUGGGCGCAAGCCUGAUGCAGCCAUGCCGCGUGUAUGAAGAAGGCCUUCGGGUUGUAAAGUACUUUCAGCGGGGAGGAAGGUGUUGUGGUUAAUAACCACAGCAAUUGACGUUACCCGCAGAAGAAGCACCGGCUAACUCCGUGCCAGCAGCCGCGGUAAUACGGAGGGUGCAAGCGUUAAUCGGAAUUACUGGGCGUAAAGCGCACGCAGGCGGUCUGUCAAGUCGGAUGUGAAAUCCCCGGGCUCAACCUGGGAACUGCAUCCGAAACUGGCAGGCUUGAGUCUCGUAGAGGGGGGUAGAAUUCCAGGUGUAGCGGUGAAAUGCGUAGAGAUCUGGAGGAAUACCGGUGGCGAAGGCGGCCCCCCUGGACGAAGACUGACGCUCAGGUGCGAAAGCGUGGGGAGCAAACAGGAUUAGAUACCCUGGUAGUCCACGCCGUAAACGAUGUCGACUUGGAGGUUGUGCCCUUGAGGCGUGGCUUCCGGAGCUAACGCGUUAAGUCGACCGCCUGGGGAGUACGGCCGCAAGGUUAAAACUCAAAUGAAUUGACGGGGGCCCGCACAAGCGGUGGAGCAUGUGGUUUAAUUCGAUGCAACGCGAAGAACCUUACCUGGUCUUGACAUCCACGGAAGAAUCCAGAGAUGGAUUUGUGCCUUCGGGAGCCGUGAGACAGGUGCUGCAUGGCUGUCGUCAGCUCGUGUUGUGAAAUGUUGGGUUAAGUCCCGCAACGAGCGCAACCCUUAUCCUUUGUUGCCAGCGGUCCGGCCGGGAACUCAAAGGAGACUGCCAGUGAUAAACUGGAGGAAGGGUGGGGAUGACGUCAAGUCAUCAUGGCCCUUACGACCAGGGCUACACACGUGCUACAAUGGCGCAUACAAAGAGAAGCGACCUCGCGAGAGCAAGCGGACCUCAUAAAGUGCGUCGUAGUCCGGAUUGGAGUCUGCAACUCGACUCCAUGAAGUCGGAAUCGCUAGUAAUCGUGGAUCAGAAUGCCACGGUGAAUACGUUCCCGGGCCUUGUACACACCGCCCGUCACACCAUGGGAGUGGGUUGCAAAAGAAGUAGGUAGCUUAACCUCCGGGAGGGCGCUUACCACUUUGUGAUUCAUGACUGGGGUGAAGUCGUAACAAGGUAACCGUAGGGGAACCUGCGGUUGGAUCACCU
RNAcentral lists this ribosomal RNA (1532 nucleotides) under Salmonella bongori. Its description in RNAcentral is "bacterial SSU rRNA". It matches the Rfam family "Bacterial small subunit ribosomal RNA". The record is from RNAcentral. Lineage: Bacteria; Pseudomonadati; Pseudomonadota; Gammaproteobacteria; Enterobacterales; Enterobacteriaceae.